This is a long non-coding RNA of Notothenia coriiceps (black rockcod), 764 nucleotides long. RefSeq lists it as uncharacterized. The transcript has 2 exons. Lineage: Eukaryota; Metazoa; Chordata; Actinopteri; Perciformes; Nototheniidae. The record is from RefSeq and is a predicted model, not a curated record.
CUUUAGAUAAGCCAGUGCUUUGUUAGUAUAGAAGUGCUUUGUUAGUAAUUUUAUUGCUCGAAGUGAAGUAGAAAGAGAUAAGUUUUUAGUCUGUGCCGGAAGAUGUGUCAGCUUUCAUAUACAUGAUCCUAUUUUGUCUUUUUCACAGAGAUCCCAGACAUCAUAAAUGCUAAGAACCUUAAAACAUUCAGGGAGUGGACUGGUGACCUGAAGAAACUUCCAAAUAUCAAACUGCGAAAGGUGUUCAAAAAAGACUUGGAGACAAAGAAUGAAGAAGAUGAUAAACCUGAAGACGCAGAUGAUGAUGAUGAGAAUAAGGAUGAUGAAGAUGACCAGCUAGAUGAGGAUGUGCUGAUGUCGGACUUACUCUGAACAUUUUGGUAAUGGACUGUAGCUCAAAUCUUAGGUGGUCCUUACGGGACAACUGACUGCAGGGCUGAACAUCAGACGGCUGCUGCUCCACCACUGUCCAGAAGGUGGCGCCAGACUCAAAUGGAAAACUAAUCUUGUAUCACUUCUUCAAAGCUCAGUAACUCCACAGCGGCCUGUGAGGGGUUCUACAUUCAUUGUUUAUUGCAAAAACAUAUAUGAGUUGUAUGCAACCUGAAUACUGCCAUUUUAUCCAAUCAGAGAUAGAAAAAAGCUUUUGACAAAGAUGUUGAGUGCUCUUUAUGUUGUGGUAGCCAUAAGACAGAGAACAUGUUAUUUUCUGUGACCUGACAGAUUUAAAAAAAAAAAAAUUAAACCUGUAGGUGUGAACAACA